ACAAUGAGAUAUUACCGGUUACUGGGUAAUAAACUCAAAGAGAGACAUGUUAUCAAAACACCGGUUACUGGGUGAGAGAACAACACGCUCAGGGAGAAAGAAUAUCUAAGACCGGUAUAAGGGUGAAAGAAUAUCAUCCGAAACAUCUAAGAUGACCCAGAAGGCACAUCUCAACUCAGGAAAAUCUAACUCCACAGGGGAUAAAAAGUCAUAAUAGGGAGAAGAAGGAAGGAACACCAUG
RNAcentral lists this long non-coding RNA (241 nucleotides) under Lathyrus oleraceus (garden pea). RNAcentral's name for it is "Pisum sativum (pea) long non-coding RNA (PSAT_LNC007650)". The record is from RNAcentral. Lineage: Eukaryota; Viridiplantae; Streptophyta; Magnoliopsida; Fabales; Fabaceae.